Molecule: non-coding RNA, 819 nt
Organism: Antechinus flavipes (yellow-footed antechinus)
Lineage: Eukaryota; Metazoa; Chordata; Mammalia; Dasyuromorphia; Dasyuridae
Source: the annotation of a RefSeq genome assembly
GGAGAUUUCUAGUUCACAAGCUCAGUUGAAGAUUGAGCUGCAGGAUGUACUCCCUUUUGUGCCUUCUUCUGGCCACUCUCUUGGCUGGUGUUGGGGCUCAGAAAAUCCAUCAAUGGCCGGCCACCAAGAUACAGGUUGCAGGGAGCCAGCUUUUCCUGGAGUGCUCCACAGAAGGGACAUCAGACCCCAAUCUUUACUGGUAUCAUCAGCCUCUAGGUGGAGGUCUACAUUUGCUGACCUACUCUAUAAGCAUAAACCAUGUGGAGAAUGAGAUGCCCCAUCAUUUCUCAGGCUUAAGAUCUCAGAAAACUCUUUUCCAGCUCAGCUCCCAGAAGCUCUUUGUCAACGACUCAGGCUCUUUUUUCUGUGCUUGGAGCCUCACACUGAAUGGAGUGAGGCAUAUAGCUGCGCAAAAACCUUUCCUUUCCUUUAGGUGCUGACAACACUUUCAGAUCCACUAUAAGAUCUCCCCAAGACCCCAUAGUGAUUUUCAUUUCUUCUUCCCAUGGGAACUGGAACUGACUAAAAAAUAAGACAUACUUUUCUCUAUUCCUAAUUCUCCAAGGAACAAAUAGUUAGGAUAAGAAACUCAGUAAUAAUUUUUGUAGAUAGGAAGGGUUGGCAUGAAAAAAAUCCAGGAAGAAAGAGUCAAGGAAGAAAGGGGAGGAAACAUAGAAGGAGUAAAGUAGGCCAGUGAGCACAUAAAAAGAAAUGUUGUUUUACUUCUGUUGAACCUGAGUCUAUGAUCAUUUUGUUGUCAUUGUGUAUCAUCACCCAUGAGAAGACCUUAUUCCACCAAUAAACAUGUUCUAUACACUC